AAUCAACGCUGGCGGCGUGCCUCAGACAUGCAAGUCGAACGAUUAAAAGCUCUCUUCGGAGAGUGUAUAGAGUGGCGCACGGGUGAGUAACACGUAAGUAAUCUACCUUUGAGUGGGGAAUAACCCGGGGAAACCCGAGCUAAUACCGCAUAAAUGCAGCGGCAUCGCAAGAUGACAGUUGUUAAAGGAGCAAUCCGCUUAAAGAGGAGCUUGCGGCAGAUUAGCUAGUUGGUAAGGUAAUGGCUUACCAAGGCUACGAUCUGUAUCCGGUCUAAGAGGACGGUCGGACACACUGACACUGAAUAACGGGUCAGACUCCUACGGGAGGCAGCAGU
RNAcentral lists this ribosomal RNA (335 nucleotides) under uncultured bacterium. RNAcentral's name for it is "bacterial SSU rRNA". It matches the Rfam family "Bacterial small subunit ribosomal RNA", at positions 32 to 355 of the family's 1533-position model. The record is from RNAcentral.